UGCCUGCUGUCCUGGCCAAGAGUGCUGCCCACACCCUCAGUGCCUUGCUGGGCCACCACUGCCCCCCUGCUGGACCCCCCUGCAGCCAUCACCAAGGUGCCUGAUAGCUGUCUGUCUGUCUAUAUCUUUCUGUAUCAAUCUGUCCAUCUCUGUGCCUGUCUAUCUAUCUCUGCUUAUAUCUGUCUUUAUCUAUCUAUCUAUCUCAGUCUGUCUAUAUCCAUUUAUCUAUCUCUCUGUCUGCCUUAUCUCUGAUGCAGGAUUUAUUGAACUGUUUUGUUUUAAUAUUGUUUUUGUCCCUCUUUUUUAUUAUUAUUAUUCUCCUUACUUUACUGUUGCUGUCUAUUUUAUUUUCCCUAUCCAUGUCUGCUCAUUAAGAGGAAGCUGUUUAGGCCUAUAGCAUUGUCUUAUUUUUCCUUGAUGGCCUUUCUUGGAUCUCAGAAACAAUGUCUUUUUCCUAUAGUUAACCUGCUCUUUUUCUCAACAUUGACCUUCCUCUCCCUUCCCUGUCCUCCCCAGCCUUCAGGAGACACUGCUGAGCCUGGUGUAUGUCCAGCGGGCACACUGGCGCUGCUUCCAGUACCAGGGUCCUUAUGCCAGCAGGAGGUGUGGGGCGAGGCUGACCCCAGCACCUUCACCCCGAGCCUCUCCUUCCAAGGCCUGGUGGGUGUCUGGCCCUUAUGCCUACAGACCAGACACCAUGCAGCUCCUGACACCAUAGACACAGCAGCUCAGGGAGAGGAUUGAUGAGAAACUGCUGCAGCUGAGGAGGGAAGAGGCCGUGGUGCUGAGUGAGUCUCCGAGGCUGUGUCUGGUGUGUGACGAGCAGGUGGAGCAACACGCAGCCUUACGGAAGGGGAACAUCCAGAGCGGCCAGAGUGCAUCCAGCGGGUGUGGGAGAUGCUGGGGCGAGGCCAGCGGCUGCAGCCUCGGUGGCCCAGCGUGAGGAGGUGGAGCUCACACACAGCCAGGAACACGUGGCCUUCAUGUUCAGCCUCCAGGCCCAGGGGGAGGAGGAGCUGCAGACCAUUCAGGAGAACUACAAGUCUGUCUACCUCCACCCCGCCACCUACGCCUGUGCCCUGCUCUCGGCCGGCUCACUGCUGCAGGUUGUGGACGAGGUGUUUGCAGGCCGAGCCAGGGCUGGCAUGCGCAUCAUCCGUCCCCCGGCCACCACGCCGAGCUGGACCGCCCCCACGGCUUCUGCUUCUACAACAACGUGGCCGUCGCCGCCAACAGGCUGGGAUGCCAAGGGUGCUGGUGGUGGUCUGGGAUGUGCACCACGGCAGCGGCAUCCAGCACGUGUAUGUGGCCGAGCCGAGGGUGCUGUACGUGUCCCUCCACUGCCACCACCACGGCCUCUUCUUCCCAUCCUCUGAGGACCCAAACUACGACGAGUGAGGACGGGACCUGGCCAAGGCUACAACAUUAACAUUACCUGCAACAAGAGUGGCAUGGGUGACGCAGAGGCUCUGACUCAGGUGGUGCUGCCCGUGGCCUUCCAGUUCAACCCACAGCUGGUCCUGGUCACUGCCAGCCUUGAUGUUGGUGCGGGGACCCACUUGGAGGUUGCUGCGUGAGUCCCGAUUGCUUUGAACAUAUGAAGGCCCUUCUGUCUGGCCUGGCCGAGGGCCGCAUGGUUCUGGCACUGGAGGGCGGCUUCAGCCUCAACACCAUCAGCUACUGCAUGACGCUGUGUGCCAAGGCUUUGCUGGGGGAUCCGCUGCCCCCCCUUGAGCCCCAGCUGGUGCCCAACAAGAGUGCCGUGCAGACCAUCAAUGACGUCAUCCGUACCCACAGCCGCUACUGGCAGGCGCUCUGCUUCAAGAAAGAAGCAGCAGAAGAAGAAAAGAAGAGGAGGAGAGGGUAUAUGUGUGUGUGUGUGUGUGUUAU
Long non-coding RNA from Eriocheir sinensis (Chinese mitten crab), 1890 nucleotides. RefSeq lists it as uncharacterized. NCBI's taxonomy places the organism in Eukaryota, Metazoa, Arthropoda, Malacostraca, Decapoda, Varunidae. The transcript has 9 exons. The record is from RefSeq and is a predicted model, not a curated record.